GCCCUACGGGGGGCAGCAGUGAGGAAUAUUGGUCAAUGGCCGGAAGGCUGAACCAGCCAAGCCGCGUGAGGGAGGAGGGCGCAGAGCGUCGCAGACCUCUUUUGCCGGGGGACAAAAGGCCGGACUCGUCCGGUCCUGAGGGUACCCGGAGAAAAAGCAUCGGCUAACUCCGUGCCAGCAGCCGCGGUAAUACGGAGGAUGCGAGCGUUAUCCGGAUUCAUUGGGCGUAAAGGGAACGCAGGCGGUCUUUUAAGUCUGUUGUGAAAGCCUUCGGCUUAACCGGAGUAGUGCAUGGG
Molecule: ribosomal RNA, 296 nt
Filed under: uncultured bacterium
Lineage: Bacteria
Description: partial 16S ribosomal RNA
Rfam family: Bacterial small subunit ribosomal RNA
Source: RNAcentral